UACCAGCUCUCCGAGUGGUAGGGAUGAUUAUUGGGCUUAAAGCGUCCGUAGCCGGCUUAGCAAGUCUCCUGUUAAAUUCAGCGACCUAAUCGUUGAGCCGCGGGAGAUACUACUAGGCUAGGAGGCGGGAGAGGUCAACGGUACUUCCGGGGUAGGGGUGAAAUCCUAUAAUCCCGGGAGGACCACCAGUGGCGAAGGCUGUUGACUAGAACGCGCACGACGGUGAGGGACGAAAGCUGGGGGAGCGAACCGGAUUAGAUACCCGGGUAGUCCCAGCUGUAAACGAUGCGAGCUAGGUGUUGGGGUGGCUACGUGCCACUUCAGUGCCGCAGGGAAGCCAUUAAGCUCGCCGCCUGGGGAGUACGGCCGCAAGGCUGAAACUUAAAGGAAUUGGCGGGGAGCACCACAAGGCGUGAAGCUUGCGGUUC
Molecule: ribosomal RNA, 428 nt
Filed under: uncultured archaeon
Lineage: Archaea
Description: bacterial SSU rRNA
Rfam family: Archaeal small subunit ribosomal RNA
Source: RNAcentral